GACGAACGCUGGCGGCGUGCCUAAUACAUGCAAGUAGAACGCUGAAGGAGGAGCUUGCUUCUCUGGAUGAGUUGCGAACGGGUGAGUAACGCGUAGGUAACCUGCCUGGUAGCGGGGGAUAACUAUUGGAAACGAUAGCUAAUACCGCAUAAUAGUAGAUGUCGCAUGACAUUUGCUUAAAAGGUGCAAUUGCAUCACUACCAGAUGGACCUGCGUUGUAUUAGCUAGUUGGUGAGGUAACGGCUCACCAAGGCAACGAUACAUAGCCGACCUGAGAGGGUGAUCGGCCACACUGGGACUGAGACACGGCCCAGACUCCUCGGGGGGGCAGCAGUGGGGAAUCUUCGGCAAUGGAGGGAAGUCUGACCGGGCAACGCCGCGUGAGUGAAGAAGGUUUUCGGAUCGUAAAGCUCUGUUGUAAGAGAAAAACGAGUGUGAGAGGGGAAAGUUCACACUGGGGCGGUAUUUUACCAGAAAGGGACGGCUAACUACGU
Molecule: ribosomal RNA, 494 nt
Filed under: uncultured bacterium
Lineage: Bacteria
Description: partial 16S ribosomal RNA
Rfam family: Bacterial small subunit ribosomal RNA
Source: RNAcentral